GAUGAACGCUAGCUACAGGCUUAACACAUGCAAGUCGAGGGGAAACGGCAUUAAGUGCUUGCACUUUUUGGACGUCGACCGGCGCACGGGUGAGUAACGCGUAUCCAACCUUCCCAUGACUAAGGGAUAACCUGCCGAAAGGCAGACUAAUACCUUAUGGUCUUCACUGACGGCAUCAGAUGUGAAGUAAAGAUUUAUCGGUUAUGGAUGGGGAUGCGUCUGAUUAGCUUGUUGGCGGGGUAACGGCCCACCAAGGCAACGAUCAGUAGGGGUUCUGAGAGGAAGGUCCCCCACAUUGGAACUGAGACACGGUCCAAACUCCUGCGGGAGGCAGCAGUGAGGAAUAUUGGUCAAUGGGCGAGAGCCUGAACCAGCCAAGUAGCGUGCAGGAUGACGGCCCUAUGGGUUGUAAACUGCUUUUGUAUGGGGAUAAAGUCAAUCACGUGUGAUUGUUUGCAGGUACCAUACGAAUAAGGACCGGCUAAUUCCGUGCCAGCAGCCGCGGUAAUACGGAAGGUCCGGGCGUUAUCCGGAUUUACUGGGUUUAAAGGGAGCGUAGGCUGGAGAUUAAGUGUGUUGUGAAAUGUAGACGCUCAACGUCUGACUUGCAGCGCAUACUGGUUUCCUUGAGUACGCACAACGUUGGCGGAAUUCGUCGUGUAGCGGUGAAAUGCUUAGAUAUGACGAAGAACUCCGAUUGCGAAGGCAGCUGACGGGAGCGCAACUGACGCUGAAGCUCGAAGGUGCGGGUAUCGAACAGG
Molecule: ribosomal RNA, 761 nt
Filed under: Prevotella melaninogenica
Lineage: Bacteria; Pseudomonadati; Bacteroidota; Bacteroidia; Bacteroidales; Prevotellaceae
Description: bacterial SSU rRNA
Rfam family: Bacterial small subunit ribosomal RNA
Source: RNAcentral